This 257-nucleotide long non-coding RNA is filed under the name Gossypium barbadense (sea-island cotton). RNAcentral's name for it is "long non-coding RNA (GBAR_LNC022989)". Lineage: Eukaryota; Viridiplantae; Streptophyta; Magnoliopsida; Malvales; Malvaceae. The record is from RNAcentral.
UUUUGCCUCCGACGAUCUCCAACCCCGAGCCGACCUGCCAAUACUAAAGAAAUGUAGAGGAUGGGUAAGCUUUAUGCUUAGUAAGUUCAUAUGAAAAUAAUAAGCAAUUACUACCAUGCUUUUUAAGAUAAAACACUAUAAUAGUACAAUUACACAUAUUCAAGACAUGCUAUUUUCUGGAGUCCCGGUGUUAAAAAAAAUCAUAUAUCAAGUUAAAAAACUCGAAAUCCAAUUCCGUAAAUUUUCUAUGAAACUAG